This is a long non-coding RNA of Hordeum vulgare subsp. vulgare (domesticated barley), 1244 nucleotides long. RefSeq lists it as uncharacterized. The transcript has 3 exons. NCBI's taxonomy places the organism in Eukaryota, Viridiplantae, Streptophyta, Magnoliopsida, Poales, Poaceae. The record is from RefSeq and is a predicted model, not a curated record.
GUUACUCCUUUUAUUGUUAAUUGUGAAUCUUUUCAUCCAGCCUAUAAAUCUUAAGCUUCUUUCCUAUAUAUUAAAGGACCUUUUAUGAGCUGAUUUCCCAUGUAAUUUUGUAAGCUACGGUCGUUCUUGAGGUCAUACAUCAAUUGUACUGAUACUAUCUACUGUUGGUGCAAUCAUUCUCAUAUGAAAUAUUGUUACUGGUAGAUACUCUGUUUUCAGUUCAAUCCUAAUUUUAAGUGCCUGCAAGUUCUUGCACCCUCCGUGCUGCUUUGAGGUUUGAUUCACAUUCCCUUUUGUGGUUGUAAAAUACUGGAAUUUCUUUGAUAUACUAUCAGUUUAUCACCAAUUUCCAUGAUGUAAAGUAAAGUUGGUGUUGAAGAGUAAAAGGUAUUGAAGAUAUAUACAGGGGUGCAUAUCUGAGUCUUUACAGAAGAACUGUUCACUACUACAUCCGAUUCUAAAUAUAAGCUUUUUUGGGCUACAUACUGAUGUAUACAGACAUAUUUUAGAGUGUAGAUUCACUCAUUUUGCUCCGUAUGAAGUCUGUAUUGGAAACUCUAAAAAGGCUUAUAUUUAGGAACGGAGGGAGUAGAUCCCUAGAGGAAGGUGAUGGCUAUAGCAACUCUGUUUUUCUUUUUCUUUUGAAAAGAGACAAUUCUUUGUUGUUGACAGACAUACUGGAAUACUUCAAAUCAUGUUACAUACGUAGAAGUUUGCUAUUCAUGUAAGGAGGUUUGUUACAAUUAAAAAAAAAUGACACAUCUUUACAAGAUAUUUAUGGCAGGAAAUAUUAAAUUCAAUCUUUGCUAAAAUCGAUGAAUUCAUAAGCAAUUUAUCAUGUACCACUUUCUAAAUAUGGCGCCAUCAGACUUCCAUGCUGUCCAGUGCUAGAAGGGUCAUAGUGUGACGAGUUCUCAAGCAAAAAUUCAGUUUCCCUGCUAUGAUUCUGAAUCAAUUGUACUCUCCAGGUGCUUUGUAUUGAUCUCAACUUCUCAGCAACUUCUCUCAUUAACCCCCCCCCCCCCCCCCCCUCUCCACAUACUCAAGCAACACUUUAAGGAAGGAGGAUGCAAGGUUUUUCUUUUCUCCAGCAGUCAGAAUAAAUUGCGAACUUCAUUGUAAUGAGCUCUAGGAGCACAACUCCAAAACUGUGAUUGAGCCAGGAAGGUUCUUGUUGACCCAAGGUCAAGACAGCGAACGGUGCAUGAAAGGAAGUUUCCCUGAUGUGACAUGUUGUAUCUGCA